Molecule: long non-coding RNA, 3105 nt
Organism: Hydra vulgaris (swiftwater hydra)
Lineage: Eukaryota; Metazoa; Cnidaria; Hydrozoa; Anthoathecata; Hydridae
Source: RefSeq, a predicted model, not a curated record
UUAGACAAAGAAAAUGCAAAGAAGUAACGAAAAUAUAAAUGUUAAAGUAACGUCAAUUUAAAUGUUAAAGUAACGUCAAUUUAUAACGUUGAUGAAUAGUCUCUUUGAAUGGUCUUCAAAAUAAGUUUUAUAGCUUUGCAACUUUUGGCUAUUGCUGCAAAUGUGGUUGGAUAUUUUAUACUCGUUAAUCAAAAUACUCAAACUUCAAAUGAUGAUAUUCCUAAACUUAAAGAAUGCAAUUUGAUGUCAAAAUAUGCAGUGCAGGUUAUUUAUGAUGAGUUUGUGGUUACAUUUCAACUAAAGCGCGAGGAUAAUGAUAAUAUUUUGUACUUAUCUAAUCAAGUUAAUGUUUUUGCAACACUCACCCUAACAAAAAAAGGUAGCAAAUGGAAUUUUGAAAUUGCAUCCUACAAUAGUACCAGCUAUACUUUAUCAGAAAAAGAAUCUUAUUUAAUCAAUAUAUCCUCCAGGUUUAUUUCUAACAGAUAUUUAAUUAAUAUAGUGGUAGAUACAACAAAUUUCUUCAAUUUAACUUAUGAUUUCCCACAACAAAACUUUAAUAUAAGUGCAAAGACUGUUUCUAACAUUAUGGAUUUACAAAUUGAAAGUAAAACACAAGAUGUUACAAAUUCAUGGAAUUAUUGGAGAGAUUGCAGUACUUUUUGUUCAUAUUUAUGCAAUGGUGGUAGUAUUGUUAAUAAAUUACCUUGUUCUAGUACCAGUUCUUUUGGAGAUUUAGUGAUUAAAGCCGACAACAUCUUAUUACAAUAUAAUUUGACUUCAAUAUUGAUUAAUGUUAUCUAUGAAGAAUUUGUUAUAGCAUUUGAUGUGUACAAAACUGAUGUACAUCAAAAAAAUAUUUUAUGCUUUUUUAUCGAGAAUAGUAAUGGUAUUGGUAAUGAAUUUAUACAAGUUAAUUAUACGGCUAGCAGUAAAUUAAAAAUUGCUUUUUUUAACUUAACAUUAACAAAUUAUGAUAUGGAAUUAAAUUCAUGGAGUACAAUUAAAAUUUCGCAGCAGUAUAUCAACAGCUCGUAUAUGUAUUCAGUUGUUGUUAAUGGAAUAGUUGCAUUCUCUGAUAUUAAUAUGCUGCCAAAUAUUUUUUCAAAUAUCAGUGUAUAUAAUUCUGAUAAAACUGAUUCACCUGAACAAAUGAAGAAUCUGUAUAUUAUCAGUAAAACACAAGUGUUUUGGUCUCAAUGGGGAUAUUGGUCAAACUGCAAUCCAUCAGGAUUUUCAACUAGAACUCGUGAUUGUAAAUCUAAUAGAUGGUUAACUUGUUCAGGAAACAGUACUGAGUCAAAAACCUGCAACAUAAACCCAUGUUAUAUGAAAUUAGAUGGAGUAUAUUUAAUUCAAGAUGUUUUAAUGUUUCUAAAUUGUACUUCACAACAAGCAAGCUAUGUAAACUGUUCUGCUAAUCAAAUGUUUGAUCCAGCAUACAAUAAAUGUAUGGAUGUUGCAAAUUAUAACUUAAGCAAUUUUUGUAAUGGAAAGUUUGAUAGCAAUUAUCGAAAUCCAUGGAACUGUCGUAGUUUUAUUUCUUGUCAUGGUUAUUCAUCAUCUAUAACAAAUUGUCAGGAAGGAUUAGUUUUUUAUCCAAUCAUUAAUAAAUGUGAUUAUGACUAUAGUUUUCAAUGCAUUACCAUAACAUUUUCUGCAAGUUCUACAAUACAUUCUACAACUACACAAUUUUUUCAACAUCCAACACUGACACCAUCUACAGAUUUAUUGAGUCUAAACAUCUUUUAUGAAGCAUCAACACCAUUAACUCCAAAUUUGAAAAAUAUAGUAUCUACUGAAAGAAAGUUAUUUGAAUCUGCAUUAAUAAGUUCUUCGGUUGCACUGGUUUUUCAAUCUUUAUCACUGGAACCAUCUUCAACACUGGCACCAUCUAUAAGUUUAUUGACUUUGAAUACCGUUUACGAACCACUAACAACAAUAACUCCAAGUCCAAAAAUUAUUGAAUGGUCAAUGUGGAGUGAAUGCUCUACAACUUGUGGAAAAGGUAGCAGAAUUCGAAAUUCUCUAAAUAUUGCAUCGAAUCCUGUAAUUGAAGAAUGCAAUUCGAGUUGUCCAGAAGAUGGAAGUUGGGGAAAUUGGAGUAUCUCGGAAUGUUCAACUACUUGUGGUGGAGGAAAUAUCUAUUUUAAUAGAAGUUGUGACAGUCCACGCCCUUCGUAUGAUGGUCUAGGUUGUAUGGGUGUAAAUAUUUACACUGAAGACUGUUCUAUCAAUACAGUUUGUCCAGUAAAUGGUAAUUGGUCAAAUUGGUCUUCAUGGUCUUUGUGCAACCAACCAUGCGAAGGUGGAAUAAAAUCAAGAUUUCGUGUUUGCUUCGAACCUUCUCCAAAGUAUGGUGGGCAACUUUGUGAUGGAAACAGUACUGAAAUUGCUGAUUGUUCAUUGAACAGUUGCAAAAAAGCAAAACUGAAUUUAAGUAUUUUUUUUGUGGACGAACUUUAUCUUUUGAAUUCCGAACUUAAAGACAAAAUAAAUAUAGCGAUAUCAAACCUUUAUAAAGAUUUCAAAAGAACUGUUACUUCUAAUAUCGUGUUGCAUUCUAUAAGCUAUCAAGUUGCUUCAAAAAUACCUCAGAGCACUCAGAAGUUUUAGAGCACUGUGGAAGACCAUUUUGAUCAGCAGAAAGUUCACACCUUCUUUUUUACUAAUGUCGCUUAACUGACCAGAGAUGCAAUCAAACCAUGAAUCGCGUUGUUUUAAGCCAAAAUUCUAACCACUGUCUCGUAGCUGUUUUACAUCUUUUUCAGUUAUGUUAUUCAAAAAAAUUCAAGUUAAAGUCUCUACAACGUUUAUGCUUAAGCUGUGCGGUUGUUAAAGAGGUUUUUGAUACUAUUGAAUAUCCCCUUCCUUUUUUAUUGAAUACCCCCUUUCUUCGUAUUUUUAAGCUUUCAUUCUAAAGUUGAGUUUUCUAAAGAUAUUAACUAUAAUCAAUUUAGUUAAAACUAUGACCUGAAAGUUUUUUAAGUUUAAUUAAUGGUUCAAACUAAACAAACUCUCGGUUAAUAUAACUAAAAGCAAACACACUAUCAUUUAAAAAAUUCUCAAAGAAACCUGGCUCUUAAAGUUCUCGAUAUUAUAAUA